Molecule: non-coding RNA, 300 nt
Organism: Cavia porcellus (domestic guinea pig)
Lineage: Eukaryota; Metazoa; Chordata; Mammalia; Rodentia; Caviidae
Rfam family: Metazoan signal recognition particle RNA
About the family: The signal recognition particle (SRP) is a universally conserved ribonucleoprotein. It is involved in the co-translational targeting of proteins to membranes.
Source: Rfam
GCCGGGCGUGGUGGCACGCGCCUGUAGUCCCAGCUACUCGGGAGGCUGCGGUGGGAGGAUCGCUUGAGUCCAGGAGUUCUGGGCUGCAGUGCGCUAUGCCGAUCGGGUGUCCACACUAAGUUCGGCAUCAAUAUGGUGACCUCCCGGGAGCGGGGGACCACCAGGUUGCCUAAGGAGGGGUGAACCGGCCCAGGUCGGAAACAGAGCAGGUCAAAACUCCCGUGCUGCUCAGUAUUGGGAUCGCGCCUGUGAAUAGCCACUGCACUCCAGCCUGGGCAAUAUUGUGAGACCCUGUCUCUA